GACGAACGCUGGCGGCGUGCCUAAUACAUGCAAGUAGAACGCUGAAGGAGGAGCUUGCUUCUCCGGAUGAGUUGCGAACGGGUGAGUAACGCGUAGGUAACCUGCCUGGUAGCGGGGGAUAACUAUUGGAAACGAUAGCUAAUACCGCAUAACAGUAGAUAUCGCAUGAUAUCUGCUUGAAAGGUGCAAUUGCAUCACUACCAGAUGGACCUGCGUUGUAUUAGCUAGUUGGUGAGGUAACGGCUCACCAAGGCGACGAUACAUAGCCGACCUGAGAGGGUGAUCGGCCACACUGGGACUGAGACACGGCCCAGACUCCUACGGGAGGCAGCAGUAGGGAAUCUUCGGCAAUGGACGGAAGUCUGACCGAGCAACGCCGCGUGAGUGAAGAAGGUUUUCGGAUCGUAAAGCUCUGUUGUAAGAGAAGAACGAGUGCGAGAGUGGAAAGUUCACACUGUGACGGUAUCUUACCAGAAAGGGACGGCUAACUACGU
RNAcentral lists this ribosomal RNA (494 nucleotides) under uncultured bacterium. Its description in RNAcentral is "partial 16S ribosomal RNA". It matches the Rfam family "Bacterial small subunit ribosomal RNA", at positions 28 to 506 of the family's 1533-position model. The record is from RNAcentral.